RNAcentral lists this ribosomal RNA (30 nucleotides) under Penicillium brefeldianum. RNAcentral describes it as "partial 28S ribosomal RNA". The record is from RNAcentral. Lineage: Eukaryota; Fungi; Ascomycota; Eurotiomycetes; Eurotiales; Aspergillaceae.
UUGACCUCGGAUCAGGUAGGAUACCCGGCC